This 492-nucleotide ribosomal RNA is filed under the name uncultured bacterium. RNAcentral describes it as "partial 16S ribosomal RNA". It matches the Rfam family "Bacterial small subunit ribosomal RNA", at positions 29 to 507 of the family's 1533-position model. The record is from RNAcentral.
AGUGAACGCUGGCGGUAGGCCUAACACAUGCAAGUCGAACGGCAGCACAGUAAGAGCUUGCUCUUACUGGUGGCGAGUGGCGGACGGGUGAGGAAUACAUCGGAAUCUACUUUUUCGGGGGGGAUAACGUAGGGAAACUUACGCUAAUACCGCAUACGACCUACGGGUGAAAGCAGGGGAUCUUCGGACCUUGCGCGAUUGAAUGAGCCGAUGUCGGAUUAGCUAGUUGGCGGGGUAAAGGCCCACCAAGGCGACGAUCCGUAGCUGGUCUGAGAGGAUGAUCAGCCACACUGGAACUGAGACACGGUCCAGACUCCUACGGGAGGCAGCAGUGGGGAAUAUUGGACAAUGGGCGCAAGCCUGAUCCAGCCAUACCGCGUGGGUGAAGAAGGCCUUCGGGUUGUAAAGCCCUUUUGUUGGGAAAGAAAAGCAGCAGGUUAAUACCCCGCUGUUCUGACGGUACCCAAAGAAUAAGCACCGGCUAACUUCGUG